RNAcentral lists this long non-coding RNA (303 nucleotides) under Homo sapiens (human). RNAcentral's name for it is "HSALNT0042826". The record is from RNAcentral. Lineage: Eukaryota; Metazoa; Chordata; Mammalia; Primates; Hominidae.
UAAGUGAAAAGAACGAAGUUAUUUUGUGUAAGUAAAAUAUAUGUGUAUUUGCUUUUAAAGAGAAAUAAGCAAAGGAUACAACAGUGAAAUGGCAACCUAAGGAAGGAAAAGUAUUUGCAAAUCAUUUAUCUGAAAAGGGAUCAAUCUAGAAUACAUAAUAACUACAACUCAACAACAAAACAAAUAACAUGAAAAAAAUGGGCAAAGGACUUGGAACAGAUAUUUCUCCAAAGAUGAUAGACAAAUGGCCAGCAAGCAUAUGAAAAAACGUUCAACGUCACUAAUCCUUAGGGAAUGCAAAUC